AAGAAACUUUAUCUUAAUUAAAGUACUUGAGUUGCAUUCAAGUGAUGUAGGUUAAAUAUCCUACAAGCUUC
Molecule: transfer RNA, 71 nt
Filed under: Gastrotheca pseustes (San Lucas marsupial frog)
Lineage: Eukaryota; Metazoa; Chordata; Amphibia; Anura; Hemiphractidae
Description: tRNA-Ala
Rfam family: tRNA
About the family: Transfer RNA (tRNA) molecules are approximately 80 nucleotides in length. Their secondary structure includes four short double-helical elements and three loops (D, anti-codon, and T loops).
Source: RNAcentral